UAAGGGCGCACGGUGGAUGCCUUGGCACUAGAAGCCGAUGAAGGACGUUACUAACGACGAUAUGCUUUGGGGAGCUGUAAGUAAGCUUUGAUCCAGAGAUUUCCGAAUGGGGAAACCCAGCAUGAGUUAUGUCAUGUUAUCGAUAUGUGAAUACAUAGCAUAUCAGAAGGCACACCCGGAGAACUGAAACAUCUUAGUACCCGGAGGAAGAGAAAGAAAAUUCGAUUCCCUUAGUAGCGGCGAGCGAAACGGGAAGAGCCCAAACCAACAAGCUUGCUUGUUGGGGUUGUAGGACACUCUAUACGGAGUUACAAAAGACGACAUUAGACGAAUCAUCUGGAAAGAUGAAUCAAAGAAGGUAAUAAUCCUGUAGUCGAAAAUGUUGUCUCUCUUGAGUGGAUCCUGAGUACGACGGAGCACGUGAAAUUCCGUCGGAAUCUGGGAGGACCAUCUCCUAAGGCUAAAUACUCUCUAGUGACCGAUAGUGAACCAGUACCGUGAGGGAAAGGUGAAAAGCACCCCGGAAGGGGAGUGAAACAGAACCUGAAACCGUGUGCUUACAAGUAGUCAGAGCCCGUUAAUGGGUGAUGGCGUGCCUUUUGUAGAAUGAACCGGCGAGUUACGAUUUGAUGCAAGGUUAAGCAGUAAAUGUGGAGCCGUAGCGAAAGCGAGUCUGAAUAGGGCGUUUAGUAUUUGGUCGUAGACCCGAAACCAGGUGAUCUACCCUUGGUCAGGUUGAAGUUCAGGUAACACUGAAUGGAGGACCGAACCGACUUACGUUGAAAAGUGAGCGGAUGAACUGAGGGUAGCGGAGAAAUUCCAAUCGAACCUGGAGAUAGCUGGUUCUCUCCGAAAUAGCUUUAGGGCUAGCCUCAAGUGAUGAUUAUUGGAGGUAGAGCACUGUUUGGACGAGGGGCCCCUCUCGGGUUACCGAAUUCAGACAAACUCCGAAUGCCAAUUAAUUUAACUUGGGAGUCAGAACAUGGGUGAUAAGGUCCGUGUUCGAAAGGGAAACAGCCCAGACCACCAGCUAAGGUCCCAAAAUAUAUGUUAAGUGGAAAAGGAUGUGGCGUUGCCCAGACAACUAGGAUGUUGGCUUAGAAGCAGCCAUCAUUUAAAGAGUGCGUAAUAGCUCACUAGUCGAGUGACACUGCGCCGAAAAUGUACCGGGGCUAAACAUAUUACCGAAGCUGUGGAUUGUCCUUUGGACAAUGGUAGGAGAGCGUUCUAAGGGCGUUGAAGCAUGAUCGUAAGGACAUGUGGAGCGCUUAGAAGUGAGAAUGCCGGUGUGAGUAGCGAAAGACGGGUGAGAAUCCCGUCCACCGAUUGACUAAGGUUUCCAGAGGAAGGCUCGUCCGCUCUGGGUUAGUCGGGUCCUAAGCUGAGGCCGACAGGCGUAGGCGAUGGAUAACAGGUUGAUAUUCCUGUACCACCUAUAAUCGUUUUAAUCGAUGGGGGGACGCAGUAGGAUAGGCGAAGCGUGCGAUUGGAUUGCACGUCUAAGCAGUAAGGCUGAGUAUUAGGCAAAUCCGGUACUCAUUAAGGCUGAGCUGUGAUGGGGAGAAGACAUUGUGUCUUCGAGUCGUUGAUUUCACACUGCCGAGAAAAGCCUCUAGAUAGAAAAUAGGUGCCCGUACCGCAAACCGACACAGGUAGUCAAGAUGAGAAUUCUAAGGUGAGCGAGCGAACUCUCGUUAAGGAACUCGGCAAAAUGACCCCGUAACUUCGGGAGAAGGGGUGCUCUUUAGGGUUAACGCCCAGAAGAGCCGCAGUGAAUAGGCCCAAGCGACUGUUUAUCAAAAACACAGGUCUCUGCUAAACCGUAAGGUGAUGUAUAGGGGCUGACGCCUGCCCGGUGCUGGAAGGUUAAGAGGAGUGGUUAGCUUCUGCGAAGCUACGAAUCGAAGCCCCAGUAAACGGCGGCCGUAACUAUAACGGUCCUAAGGUAGCGAAAUUCCUUGUCGGGUAAGUUCCGACCCGCACGAAAGGCGUAACGAUUUGGGCACUGUCUCAACGAGAGACUCGGUGAAAUCAUAGUACCUGUGAAGAUGCAGGUUACCCGCGACAGGACGGAAAGACCCCGUGGAGCUUUACUGUAGCCUGAUAUUGAAAUUCGGCACAGCUUGUACAGGAUAGGUAGGAGCCUUUGAAACGUGAGCGCUAGCUUACGUGGAGGCGCUGGUGGGAUACUACCCUAGCUGUGUUGGCUUUCUAACCCGCACCACUUAUCGUGGUGGGAGACAGUGUCAGGCGGGCAGUUUGACUGGGGCGGUCGCCUCCUAAAAGGUAACGGAGGCGCUCAAAGGUUCCCUCAGAAUGGUUGGAAAUCAUUCAUAGAGUGUAAAGGCAUAAGGGAGCUUGACUGCGAGACCUACAAGUCGAGCAGGGUCGAAAGACGGACUUAGUGAUCCGGUGGUUCCGCAUGGAAGGGCCAUCGCUCAACGGAUAAAAGCUACCCCGGGGAUAACAGGCUUAUCUCCCCCAAGAGUUCACAUCGACGGGGAGGUUUGGCACCUCGAUGUCGGCUCAUCGCAUCCUGGGGCUGUAGUCGGUCCCAAGGGUUGGGCUGUUCGCCCAUUAAAGCGGUACGCGAGCUGGGUUCAGAACGUCGUGAGACAGUUCGGUCCCUAUCCGUCGUGGGCGUAGGAAAUUUGAGAGGAGCUGUCCUUAGUACGAGAGGACCGGGAUGGACAUACCUCUGGUGUACCAGUUGUCGUGCCAACGGCAUAGCUGGGUAGCUAUGUGUGGACGGGAUAAGUGCUGAAAGCAUCUAAGCAUGAAGCCCCCCUCAAGAUGAGAUUUCCCAACUUCGGUUAUAAGAUCCCUCAAAGAUGAUGAGGUUAAUAGGUUCGAGGU
RNAcentral lists this ribosomal RNA (2856 nucleotides) under Staphylococcus aureus. RNAcentral describes it as "partial 23S ribosomal RNA". It matches the Rfam family "Bacterial large subunit ribosomal RNA". The record is from RNAcentral. Lineage: Bacteria; Bacillati; Bacillota; Bacilli; Caryophanales; Staphylococcaceae.